This 547-nucleotide ribosomal RNA is filed under the name uncultured bacterium. Its description in RNAcentral is "bacterial SSU rRNA". It matches the Rfam family "Bacterial small subunit ribosomal RNA", at positions 8 to 526 of the family's 1533-position model. The record is from RNAcentral.
AGAGUUUGAUCAUGGCUCAGGACGAACGCUGGCGGCGUGCCUAAUACAUGCAAGUCGAACGCUUCUUUCCUCCCGAGUGCUUGCACUCAAUUGGAAAGAGGAGUGGCGGACGGGUGAGUAACACGUGGGUAACCUACCCAUCAGAGGGGGAUAACACUUGGAAACAGGUGCUAAUACCGCAUAACAGUUUAUGCCGCAUGGCAUAAGAGUGAAAGGCGCUUUCGGGUGUCGCUGAUGGAUGGACCCGCGGUGCAUUAGCUAGUUGGUGAGGUAACGGCUCACCAAGGCCACGAUGCAUAGCCGACCUGAGAGGGUGAUCGGCCACACUGGGACUGAGACACGGCCCAGACUCCUACGGGAGGCAGCAGUAGGGAAUCUUCGGCAAUGGACGAAAGUCUGACCGAGCAACGCCGCGUGAGUGAAGAAGGUUUUCGGAUCGUAAAACUCUGUUGUUAGAGAAGAACAAGGACGUUAGUAACUGAACGUCCCCUGACGGUAUCUAACCAGAAAGCCACGGCUAACUACGUGCCAGCAGCCGCGGUAAUAC